Molecule: ribosomal RNA, 506 nt
Filed under: uncultured bacterium
Lineage: Bacteria
Description: partial 16S ribosomal RNA
Rfam family: Bacterial small subunit ribosomal RNA
Source: RNAcentral
AUUGAACGCUGGCGGCAGGCCUAACACAUGCAAGUCGAACGGUAACAGGAAACAGCUUGCUGUUUCGCUGACGAGUGGCGGACGGGUGAGUAAUGUCUGGGAAACUGCCUGAUGGAGGGGGAUAACUACUGGAAACGGUAGCUAAUACCGCAUAACGUCGCAAGACCAAAGAGGGGGACCUUCGGGCCUCUUGCCAUCGGAUGUGCCCAGAUGGGAUUAGCUUGUUGGUGGGGUAACGGCUCACCAAGGCGACGAUCCCUAGCUGGUCUGAGAGGAUGACCAGCCACACUGGAACUGAGACACGGUCCAGACUCCUACGGGAGGCAGCAGUGGGGAAUAUUGCACAAUGGGCGCAAGCCUGAUGCAGCCAUGCCGCGUGUAUGAAGAAGGCCUUCGGGUUGUAAAGUACUUUCAGCGGGGAGGAAGGUGCUGAGGUUAAUAACCUCAGCAAUUGACGUUACCCGCAGAAGAAGCACCGGCUAACUCCGUGCCAGCCGCCGCGGUAA